Molecule: ribosomal RNA, 490 nt
Filed under: uncultured bacterium
Lineage: Bacteria
Description: partial 16S ribosomal RNA
Rfam family: Bacterial small subunit ribosomal RNA
Source: RNAcentral
AUUGAACGCUGGCGGCAGGCCUAACACAUGCAAGUCGAACGGUAACAGGAAGCAGCUUGCUGCUUCGCUGACGAGUGGCGGACGGGUGAGUAAUGUCUGGGAAACUGCCUGAUGGAGGGGGAUAACUACUGGAAACGGUAGCUAAUACCGCAUAACGUCGCAAGACCAAAGAGGGGGACCUUAGGGCCUCUUGCCAUCGGAUGUGCCCAGAUGGGAUUAGCUAGUAGGUGGGGUAACGGCUCACCUAGGCGACGAUCCCUAGCUGGUCUGAGAGGAUGACCAGCCACACUGGAACUGAGACACGGUCCAGACUCCUACGGGAGGCAGCAGUGGGGAAUAUUGCACAAUGGGCGCAAGCCUGAUGCAGCCAUGCCGCGUGUAUGAAGAAGGCCUUCGGGUCGUAAAGUACUUUCAGCGGGGAGGAAGGGAGUAAAGUUAAUACCUUUGCUCAUUGACGUUACCCGCAGAAGAAGCACCGGCUAACUCCGUG